Caenorhabditis elegans is the source of this 144-nucleotide non-coding RNA. NCBI's taxonomy places the organism in Eukaryota, Metazoa, Nematoda, Chromadorea, Rhabditida, Rhabditidae. The record is from Ensembl.
GAGGGGGUUUUGCAGAGAGGGGAGAGGGAACAGAUUGAUAAAACCGGAAAUCGUUCAAAUGUUGAUACAAGGUACAAGGCUGCUAGUGGUUUCUGUUUCUGCACUGCACCACCAACUUCCGGAUCCAAUUAAUUUGAAACCUGU